Molecule: long non-coding RNA, 2588 nt
Filed under: Sus scrofa (pig)
Lineage: Eukaryota; Metazoa; Chordata; Mammalia; Artiodactyla; Suidae
Description: lncRNA (ENSSSCG00025014039.1)
Source: RNAcentral
GCAGAGCAGAGGAAUGACCCAUGGAAAUCUCACUGCCGCAUUGGGGUGCUCAAUCCAGGGAAACAUUCAAAGCUGCUCCUGUCUGUCAGCUAAAGAUGACAAAUAUUUAUCAUCUCUGGACACCCCUCCAGCCUCUGAAAUAUGUACUCCAGUCAUGAAGCAGAGAAUGUUAUAGAGAAGACAAAGAAUUAAAUGAACCUUCUGAGGACUUCAAGCCUGGGAAGCAGCCUCUCAGACAGCUCCGCCUGCUCCAAAAGAGGUAAAGGAGAAGCCAGAAUAUAUAGGAAUUUUACAACAAAAAAACAGGUGCUAAAUCCCAGCCAUACAUCAGUGCUCUAUCAUUACAAGUCAAGGUCUAUUUCUGGGAGUGACUGUGUGUCUGACCAAAGAGAUGAGUUAUCGAGGAAGAAGGCCUCCCUCGUCUAGGACACCAUUUUCUGGAAAAAAAUGAACAUCUGUAAGGACAGCCAGCUAGGCUGUUACAAGGCCUCCUCCUUCCAUCACCCCACAGGGAGUAAAUCUGGGCAGGGAAGGACCCAGCCAGAUGUGGAUGUCUGCAUGCUGCUGGGGCAACAUCCGCAUUUUUACAGAAAAAGACAGAUACCAUAUGAUCUCACUUGCACAUGGAAUCUAAAAACAAACAAAACAACUACCUCACAGAUACAGAAAACAGAUUGGUGGCUGCCAGAGCUGCUGCUUGCACAGUUGGAAUAACGUGCCACUAUGAGGUGGCUACUUCGUGAACCGGAGGUUCUCAUUCAGAGUAUAAAUUCAGAGGAAAGACAUCUUCAGGUAAAGAAGGAACAGAAAAUACCAAGUGGUUCUCCACAGGGACCUGUAUGUUUUUCACUACCUAUGGGAGGGAAGUGAAAACCUGUGUUUAGGGAUCCAUUGAAGAAUUUGGUGGUAUUCAUCCUAGUUCAGAGCAACCCCAUGCUGAGCAGAUUGCAUUCCAUCAUGAAAUAAUUGGUAUAGAGGACCUUGAAUAGGCAUGCUCUAUACUUCCAGCAUUUAGUAAAACUCAAAUGGCAGCUGUAAUGACAUUAGUUUAUCACUUCUCAUUCAUCAAAGACUAAAAGUAUUGGAGAAAUUCAUUGGAUAAUAUAACAUCCAUUACACCUUGACUCUGUAUCAGUGAUCAAAGGUGUAAAUACCAUAAGCACGACACUGAUGUUUAUACUCCAAAGUUUGACACCUCACGUUGGGCACAGGAAUAUUAAAAUGUUCUUAGCUAUAAUUCCUCUCCAAAUGUAAAAUUAAUCAUCAAGGCUUUCGAUAGCUUUACUUACUAUGCUGCACCUUAUUUUUUACAACAACCUAAGGAAAUACUCUAGCUACUGAGGCAGUGUUAUUGUAUGCCAAAAGGUGGAGGAGACUGCUAAUAAAGCAAAACCAACCCAAACCAAACCACCACCAACAACAAAACCCAGAAAACCAACUACUGAUAAUGCAGAGGUAAGUUUUUAUUAGGGGUUCUAAAGUGACAUAUGCCAGCUAAAUUAAACUUUUUAAGAUGGUGGAUUAGCCACAGAGUGAAAUCUUUCACACAGACCUCAAAGAAAUCAUAGAAAAGAGUUUUUUAAAAAAUGAUUAAAUACAUAUUUAUGCUUGGAAACCAAAGAAGAGAAUCUCUACAGAUUAGAAAGACAUACCUCAAAAUAGGAAACAAAUAGGAAGCGACAGUGGUAAAAAGAGGCCAAUGCUUUCAGAAAACUAUACUGGUCUAAAGGCAUAUAUAUACACAUAUAUAGGUACAUGUGUAUGUGUGCACACACAUUUGCAGGAAAGAUUUUAUGAAACAUACCAUCUAGUUGUUUAUACUACAAGGGUCAUUUAAAACCUGAACUUUAGGUUCUCCAAAUUUAGGUUAAUAUUGUUGAGAUUUAGGUGAUGUCCUAAGGAGAUCAUUUAGAAUUCAUGAUGGACAAAAAAGUCAUUCUUAGAAAAUGAAAAAACAAGAGCAAGACACCAAGCAUCUGAAAAUCUAACAUGUGAAGGAAGGAAAACACAAUGCACUUAUGGAAGAGUUUAAACUUGGAAAGAAGAGAAAUAAUGCAGCAAUUUGAAAAUGUUUUUAAUAUGUGUAUCUAGUACCCAGGAAGAUAGCAAAUAAAGAUAUAAAUAGUUAUUUGCUUUUUUUAUAAAAAAAAUAUAGAAAAUAUGCUAUUGACCAAUGCCAGGCACAUAUUAAACACUUUAUGAAAUUCAGCCAUUAUUUUCUUUCACUAUAAUUUUGGCUUCAUGAAAGCAGAGAAUUUUGUUUGUUUUAUUUACUGCUAUGUUCUCCAGCAUGUAGAAGAAUUUCUUACACAUGGAACAAAAAUUGAACAACUAAUUUUUAGAUAAAAAGGCUCAGAGGAAAUGAACCCAACUAGCAUCCAUGAAGAUGUGGGUUCGAUCCCUGGCCCUCACACAGUGGGUUAAGGAUUCGGAGUUGCCAUGAGCUGCAGUGUAGGUCACAGACGUGGCUCAGAUCUGGCAUUGCUGUAGCUGUGAUGUAGGCUGGCAGCUAUAACUUGGAUUAGACCCCUAGCCUGGGAACUUCCAUAUGCUACAGGUGUGGCCCUAAGCACCAAAAGAAAAAAAAA